Long non-coding RNA from Nicotiana attenuata, 756 nucleotides. RefSeq lists it as uncharacterized. NCBI's taxonomy places the organism in Eukaryota, Viridiplantae, Streptophyta, Magnoliopsida, Solanales, Solanaceae. The transcript is spliced from 5 exons. The record is from RefSeq and is a predicted model, not a curated record.
CCAAUUAGAACUCCCUCCUCUCAGUCUCCCAACCCCAAUUUUAUCAAACCCUCUCUCUUCUCUCCUCUCAUAUUCUCUUUCCUUCCCCCGCCAAGGAGAUGGUGGCGUUGAUUGGUUUAUCUGUCAUUGUACACAACUAUUGGUUCCAUGAUCGAUCAGAUUACUAGUAGAUCCAGCAAUUUACAGGACACACUGUUCAUCUCAAGUUUGAAGGAUAUGGUUCACACGAACGGCUGUAUUGAGAGCAAGAAGAAACAAUCAUCUAAGGCUGAAGUCCGGAGUUAUUUGAGGCAAGAGAUAAUGUUGCUCGAUAGAAGAUUAUAGCACCAAGGCACAAUUCCAUGUGCUGUAGAGAAAGCAUUGGAAUGUAAAUCUUUCUCACAAAAUAUCACUCAUCUCACCUCAAUGUCUAUGGCACGAGAUUUAGGAAAUGGCGCUCCAUAACUGACUGGGAUUACGGCGGUUUUUGGAUACCGCCACAAAUACUGAUUUGCAGCGGUUCGAAACCGCCACUAAAGGCAAAUAUAACCGCCGAAUAUACACAUUUUUUGUAGUGAAAUUAUAAGAACAUAUUACUUGUGAUCUUUUCGGCAAGAAAUGUAAAUUUAAUAUGUUUUGCAAGCCAGCGUGAGAGAUAUUGCUCUCUUGGCAAUACUAAAGAUAUGUAAUAUAGAUUUUAAGGUUUUAGUAGCAUUAUUAUUACGUCCUACUAGUUUUUGUAGGAAAGUUGAUAUAUUAGGGCUACAGUUGAAAUUC